GUUACAUAACCACCGAGCUGCGCGAAAGUGCUUGCCAAGGAAUGUACAAUGACGUCCUCAGCGAAGACGAGAAUCUAUUUAUGGAGGGUCGGUCACCGCUGGCACUUGCAAAGAGUUGGCUUCCAAGCCUGAUGUCGACGGAUUCCUUGUUGGUGGCGCCAGUCUGAAGCCGGACUUUGUCACGAUCGUCAACGCAGCAGACUAAGCAGGAGCAUCAGGUGCAGCAAAGCACACCGUAACAGAUAAAUGUACCCACGUACGUGCAGUACACAUGUUCAUCAUUGCCGACAAAACUCCAGUCUAUAUGAAGCAAUACUUGUAAUAUAAUCUCCAAACCGCAUGGCUGCACAGUACCGACUUUAAUUCGUCUUUAUUUUGAUUGUUUUCUACACACUUGAGAUCUUUCCUCACUAUCAAGAAAGUGGAUAAGUAUAUAUUUCUGUUACUGUGAGUUUCUCUGCUAGCAGCUAUGACUCUGACCGGUUCGUUAUGUGAGAGGCAUGUGUCAUUGGCAACAUACAUAAUAGGAUGAAAAUUAUACUAUUACUAUUACUAUUAGCUUACACGUAUCAUAGCCUGUUAAAACUAGUAAAAAAUCAAUAAUACCCACACUGUACCAGAGCAUAUUGUUCAUGUUCUCUAUUGAAUUUGCCGUUUUAUGUUUUGUUCGGUUUACUGUCAAACUAUCUAAGUCUAACUAUCUAACUGUCAUACUAUCAGCGAUAUUAUAACGCUGUAUUUAGUCUCGAUGCAUUCCAUGUAAUCAUGUGUAUUCAUUGUGUAUAUUAGUCACAAUUUUACUAGUCUGGAAAUUAAAGGCUUCUUGGUAAUGACACAA
Priapulus caudatus is the source of this 838-nucleotide long non-coding RNA. RefSeq lists it as uncharacterized. NCBI's taxonomy places the organism in Eukaryota, Metazoa, Priapulida, Priapulimorpha, Priapulimorphida, Priapulidae. The record is from RefSeq and is a predicted model, not a curated record. The transcript is spliced from 2 exons.